Molecule: small nuclear RNA, 21 nt
Filed under: Arabidopsis thaliana (thale cress)
Lineage: Eukaryota; Viridiplantae; Streptophyta; Magnoliopsida; Brassicales; Brassicaceae
Description: snRNA_16019
Source: RNAcentral
AAUGACACAUGUACACAUCUG